CAAAAUCCACUGGGACUGGAGUUUGAGGAACUCUUCUGGGUCUCUCUCACUGGAACUUCAAUUAAAAAAAAAGUGUACUCAACCACCAAAGUCUUAGGGAACAUCGCAAUAAAUAUCAGAAACUUGAUAACUAAGUCACAUGGCAGGUUUUAUUUUAAGUGUUGAUGCUUUAGUCAAUCUAGGCAUGAUUACUGAAUCUGCCUCACUCUUCGGAGGUCUACAGAAUGAUUGCUGCAAUCCCAGUUGUGGCCCUCUCUGUGGGACUGGAGGUAACUAAGUACCAUCUUCAACCUGAACCCAGUGAUGGCUCUGGAAGAAAGCUGAAUUGGAAAGUCCUGGACUCAUGCCCUAGGAGCAUGCAGUGAGAAGAAACAGAAGAACUGAAAUCUCAGCAGAAGAAUUAAAAACAAAGCAAUCAAUCUCUGCACUGUCUUUUACCACUUCUGUAGAGCUUAAAGAUUUUUAUCCGACUAAAACUUUGAGAUAUUUGAAAAGUUUAUUUCAACCAAGGUCUGCAAAGUUUGCCUCAUCAUAAAUAGGUUUCUUACAUUUCCCUAUCCCCUUGAAUAACUAAAAAUAUAUUUUAACAGUGUAUCUCAAGUUUUUCUUCUUUCAUUGUGCACAAUCAGUCAUUGUUGAGGGACCUGUACUUUUGUGGUAACACAUGGGGUGUUAUUUGGAAUAAAAUACAAAGAGAAUAUAAUCAAGAAACAAUCUUGUUUCUUGAUUAUCUUGUUUCUUGAUAUAUUAUGAGAAACUAAUAUGUGUAUAAGAGAUAUACACAUAUUAGUUGCUUAAGAGAAUGUAGUUUUAUCUACCCCUCACCCCAACCCCAAAAAUAGCAACAUGGAAUCCAAUUCUGGAUACUUGCCUUUGCUCAACAUUUUGUAUUUAUUUUUAAGGACAAAAUAAAAUUUACUUGCAGCCUUGAUUUUUAUCUUUAUUUUUUUUGAGGAGUACACACUGAUUAAAACACUGUCCUAAGUCCUGACAUACAUUAUACAAUUUAUCUCCCUC
This 1017-nucleotide long non-coding RNA is filed under the name Homo sapiens (human). RNAcentral's name for it is "HSALNT0119086". Lineage: Eukaryota; Metazoa; Chordata; Mammalia; Primates; Hominidae. The record is from RNAcentral.